AGGUUAUGAUGUGGACAUUUCCUCAACAAAUCUUUAAAUCUCUCCCAUGACUUAAAUAAGGAUUCAGUGUCCAACUGUGCAUAAGUUGUUAUCUAUAGACGCAACUU
Small nucleolar RNA from Dioscorea cayenensis subsp. rotundata (Guinea yam), 107 nucleotides. The record is from RefSeq and is a predicted model, not a curated record. Lineage: Eukaryota; Viridiplantae; Streptophyta; Magnoliopsida; Dioscoreales; Dioscoreaceae.